CAGCCCUCGGAGUCCACCUCCCUCAAGUCGGCGAGAUCCCGGAGAGGAACCGGCUUGCAGCCUGCGGGAAGCCCGUUCCUCUGGGCCAGCAUGGCAUAGCCAAGUCGGCGUGACACAUGCUGAUGCUUCCACUCAGCAGCCGAGUGUGCUGCGCAGAGCCGGGACGGACCGACUGAACGGCUGACUAACGCACCCACCCACUGGCCACACACAACUCUUGAGGUAUGCACACACAAACAUACACUCGCAUACACCCAGGCUGCCUCUUUCCUUUUCCUGUCUCCUCCAUCUCCACAUCGCUCACUCCCGGUCCUGACGCUACAGGGGGGCCGACACAGGUGGAAUUCGUAACGGCACAAUACAAUAAAAAAAUUCAACCCGAUCAAGAUUAUUUCGUAUAUUUUUUUGGACAGACACAAAUGAACACAUCUGUAAUUGGUAGACUUUUGCUAACUCGGAAAUGCUUCUUUAUCUUUGCCAACGACAUGCUUUUAACAGUGGGAAUCAAUGAAUACCAUAAAGUUAAAAUUUGUAUUCAAGGAUGAAGUUGCAAUAAAAUUGUGAAAUCGCAAAAUAGCAACAACUCACCUCGUAGGUAAGAGACCACUAUGACAUCGAGCUAACGCAGACAGGUAAGCGACGUUAAUAACCCAAUUUCGGUCGUUUAGCUAGGCUAACGUGAGCUAAGCUUCACGUCGGUUCUGCGUUUGAUUGAGAAAUUCAGUCAUGAACAACAGGCCAAAAAAAAAAAGCUGUGGUUGAGAACGUGUUCGUAGGGAUGUAAUGAUCCACAAAUGUUACGAUGCUUUUCAACGAAGCCGUGACAAACGAGUUUUGUUGACCAACAGUACGAUGGGUUAGCUUUGAAGUUGAAGCUUGCUACUGGACCGAUACUACUGGAGCAGAUGGGGUCUUCCCACUCUCCGGUGGCCCAAAGGAUCCGACGUGACGCUUCAUCACACUUUCCCCCUCGGGCCCCGCUGUAAUUAACAGCCGCGGUGGGGACAGGCUCGCGAUUCAACUGCGGCCAACGCGCGUCCAUCAACAAGCCCUGCGGUUUGGCGGCUUGCUUAGCCUAGCGCUAGCAUAUGUGGUGCGAAUGUAAAAAGCGUUUGUGUUUCGAUUGGAGGGGAAUAUUUGAGACGGCGGCGUGACCGUGAACAACAACAACAGGAACCCCAGUGGUGGAAUGUUCCCCUCGCAGAGUUUGGUUUAGCGGAAUCCAGUUCUCGCAUUGGGCCCGAAAUAGCACGUGAUAUUCUUUAUGGAAAAGACGGUCGAAAUAGAAAAAGGCCCAUCUGUCAUCUUAGUGGGAUUUAGACCCAAAAGAAUGUUGUUGUUUUUUGUCUUUUGGAACUGCUGCAUUCAGAAAGGAAUUUGGAAAAACACCACAGGCUGUUUCCAUUUUU
This is a long non-coding RNA of Hippocampus comes (tiger tail seahorse), 1409 nucleotides long. RefSeq lists it as uncharacterized. Lineage: Eukaryota; Metazoa; Chordata; Actinopteri; Syngnathiformes; Syngnathidae. The transcript has 2 exons. The record is from RefSeq and is a predicted model, not a curated record.